UUUAGUUAUUUGGUUAAAUCCAAUAACAAUAAAACGUAGCUUAGAAAAAUGGUCAUUUUUUGCUCAGUUCCAAUUGCCCGCCUGUAGUUAGUAUUGUUUUUCUUGUAGACAAAAAGGUAAAUAAAGGAAAAUCCCUAAAUAUAUUUUAAUAGAUAAGACGAUAAGAGACCAAACAAAAAAGAUGCGUACUGCAAAAAGAUCCCGUAAAAAAGAGAGAGAGAGAGAGAGAGAGAGAGAGAGAGAGAGAGAGAGAGAGAGAGAGAGAGAGAACUGCAGAAAUUUAUAACACCUAGAAACAAGGCAUGAUUGGAAAUCUUUCAGAAUGUUUCUUGCUAUAUUUUGAUAAAUCGAAAUAUCUCUUGUGAAAUAUUGAAAAUCAAGGAAAAAGAGAGGGAUAUAGAGGAGAGUAUAUGAAUUUGGUACUCCAGUUUGAAGAAAAUGUGGCCUUACUUGGCCUGCCUUGGCAGCAGCUGUUGUGUGACGUUAUUGUCUAGAUGUUGUCUGAAAUACGGAGAGAAGUCUAACGCAAGGAUAGUCAUGUUGUUUAUAGGCUGCCUAUUCACUGGUGAGGUUCCUCCUAAUUACUGAUGAUGGAGGUGAACAGGCCAAGGAAAUGGAAUUGAACGAGAGAAUUUCGGCCUUGCGAGACACCACACAGUACCAGAGAGAGCAGCAGUGAACUUGGACAGGAUCAUUUUUCAGCUGCAACAGAGGCUUGACUACAAUGAAGACAUUCAGAAGGCGGGCGGAAAGGAAGAAAGCACUCGUGUGAUCCUGGCAAGAAAGGGCCCACUUAUUCGAAGGUGAGACGUUGUUUCUGAAGGAGAACGAUCAAGUGAAGAAGGAGAAGGACGUGCAGAUAUAGACCGAAGAAGCGGCGCGGAUGGCGAGGCUCGUCCAGGAACGAAAAGACGCGAACGAAAAGCGCUAAUCCGACAGGAAAGACGCCGAGGUCAGGUUCCAGCUCCUGCAGAAGGAAGUGGAAGAUCUCACGAAGGAAACGUGUGUACUACAUUGUGAAGUUCAGGUUGCGAAACUGAAGAGAGACGAGCUGAGGUGCCUUGUAGAGGAAGGGAAUCAUCGCUUCAAGUCGCUGGAUAGGAACACCGGUGUCCAGGGCGAACGGAACGACCAGUUGGAAGAUGAGGUUCGACAGCUGCGAGGAGCGAAGGAGAAAUCGGUUUGCCAGCUCAAGAACCACCAGGGAAAUUACAGAUGCCUGGAAAAUGAAGGAGCAGCUGUCCAUGUUCAAGGAAUGGCGCGACCAAGUCUAAGCUGGCCUUGCGAAGAGGGCUCAGAUGUCAAAAAUUUGAGGAGAAUGUUUGUUGUAUGGAAAUUUUUUUUUUUUUUUUUUUAAUCAAUAAAGUUUAUUUACAAA
Macrobrachium nipponense is the source of this 1378-nucleotide long non-coding RNA. RefSeq lists it as uncharacterized. NCBI's taxonomy places the organism in Eukaryota, Metazoa, Arthropoda, Malacostraca, Decapoda, Palaemonidae. The transcript is spliced from 2 exons. The record is from RefSeq and is a predicted model, not a curated record.